Myotis myotis is the source of this 1270-nucleotide long non-coding RNA. RefSeq lists it as uncharacterized. The transcript has 2 exons. NCBI's taxonomy places the organism in Eukaryota, Metazoa, Chordata, Mammalia, Chiroptera, Vespertilionidae. The record is from RefSeq and is a predicted model, not a curated record.
CGGGGGGGCUAGGGCGGCGUGAGGAAGGCGAUUCCUCCUCCCGGGCCCCCCAGAUUCGCUCCACACGGAGCCUCCUCCCUUUGCGCGGCGCCGUCACCCGCCGGCCGCUGGCGCUACCAGACUCUUCCCCAUCCUCGCGGCCCGAACGCCUAGUGCAGCCCGGCCCCCCGAGUCCUCCGAGCCGGCCGCCUCCCGCCUCUUGCACUCGCGGGCCUCGGGGGGCGGGGGAUUAGCUCUGGCGCCCUAAUUCCCCUCCCCCCCGCACCCCUCGGCUUUCAGUUCUUUACACAACCCUUGGCUGGCCUCCCUCCGCCGGGAGAAAAAGCAUCCCAGCUCCGACCGACCGGAGCUCGCUUUUCUUUCUGCCUCCUUGUUCGCGGGGCGAGGGGGGUCCCCGAUUGUGGGCCGGGGGGCCGUUUGUCGGAGCUGUGGAGGCCGUGGGGGCGGUCGGCGGGGGCGAGGGAGGCGGCGCGGGCUCUGGUGCGGCGCGGGGCCGGGGCAUUGUUCUGGAACUUCCUCUUCGGUCCCGGUCGGUCUGUGCUCCGGUCGCUCAUUGUUUCUGGGCACUAACUCUUCGAUGUGUGUGCGCACCGCACAGGCGUGGAGAUGGGGGCGAAGGCCUGGGGGGGUUCAGACAGCCCCUCCCAGGCUGUCCGCCUCCGAGAACUUCUCGGACCAGAGAGGUGUGUGGCCAGGAGAUGGAGAAAUGGGCGAGGAAAUGAGGAAACGGCCGAAAGGCGUCUGGAGGGAGGAGGCCGUCGCCGCGCGGGGAAGGGACUCCUAUGGGAAGGGAGUCUUGUCACUUGUAAUUUACAAGCCGCGAAGUCCUGUAAAUGAGUUGCGGUCGCAUUGACCCGGAGGUCUGUCCAGGGGCUGAGAGAGAGAGACGGCUACAACCGGAGGAGAAGUCGUUACCUGGCCUUUUCUGGCAGAGCGUCAGGCUGACCUGGGAUCACUCACGGCUCAGUGUACCUCGCGCGGGGUGUUUUUCUUCAUUUCCAUUUGAAGGAUGAAAUUGUAAGACGAGAUGAAGAGAAAGGGAAAGAGAGAUAGAAACAUCAAUGAUGAGAGAGAAUCACUGAUGAGCUGCCUCCCGCACCCCUGACCGAAAUUGAACUUGGGACCCUUCAGUCCACAGGCUGAUGCUCUAUCCACUGAGCCAAACCGGCCAGGGCUCUAAACGUUUUUGAGAAGAUAAAAAGAAUAAGGGGGGAGGGGGGAGAAGCCCUCCUUGUACAGUGUUCAUGAUUAAAGUGUUUGUAAACCAAAA